UUUAUUGAGAGUUUGAUCCUGGCUCAGGACGAACGCUGGCGGCGUGCUUAACACAUGCAAGUCGAACGAGAAUCUGCUGAAGGAGGAUUCGUCCAACGGAAGCAGAGGAAAGUGGCGGACGGGUGAGUAACGCGUGAGGAACCUGCCUUGAAGAGGGGGACAACAGUUGGAAACGACUGCUAAUACCGCAUGACGCAUAGAGGUCGCAUGAUCUUUAUGCCAAAGAUUUAUCGCUUCAAGAUGGCCUCGCGUCUGAUUAGCUGGUUGGCGGGGUAACGGCCCACCAAGGCGACGAUCAGUAGCCGGACUGAGAGGUUGAACGGCCACAUUGGGACUGAGAUACGGCCCAGACUCCUACGGGAGGCAGCAG
RNAcentral lists this ribosomal RNA (370 nucleotides) under Bacillota bacterium. RNAcentral describes it as "bacterial SSU rRNA". It matches the Rfam family "Bacterial small subunit ribosomal RNA", at positions 1 to 354 of the family's 1533-position model. The record is from RNAcentral. Lineage: Bacteria; Bacillati; Bacillota.